RNAcentral lists this ribosomal RNA (501 nucleotides) under uncultured bacterium. RNAcentral describes it as "bacterial SSU rRNA". It matches the Rfam family "Bacterial small subunit ribosomal RNA", at positions 384 to 872 of the family's 1533-position model. The record is from RNAcentral.
UGACGCAGCGACGCCGCGUGGGGGAGGAAGGCCUCAGGGUCGUAAACCCCUGUCAGGUGGGACUGAACCACCGAUCKGUUAAUACCCGGUCAGUCUGACGGUACCACCAGAGGAAGCUCCGGCUAACUCCGUGCCAGCAGCCGCGGUAAUACGGAGGGAGCUAGCGUUGUUCGGAAUUACUGGGCGUAAAGGGCGCGUAGGCGGUCGGGUAAGUCGAGUGUGAAAUUCCGGGGCUCAACCCSGCGAACUGCAUUCGAUACUGUCUCGACUAGAGAGAGGUAGGGGCGAGUGGAAUUCCCGGUGUAGCGGUGGAAUGCGUAGAUAUCGGGAAGAACACCGGUGGCGAAGGCGGCUCKCUGGGCCUUUUCUGACGCUGAAGCGCGAAAGCGUGGGGAGCAAACAGGAUUAGAUACCCUGGUAGUCCACGCYGUAAACGAUGGGUACUAGGUGUUGGGAGKAUUGACCCUCUCAGUGCCGAACGUAACGCAUUAAGURCCCCGC